This 460-nucleotide ribosomal RNA is filed under the name uncultured bacterium. RNAcentral's name for it is "partial 16S ribosomal RNA". It matches the Rfam family "Bacterial small subunit ribosomal RNA", at positions 338 to 795 of the family's 1533-position model. The record is from RNAcentral.
CCUACGGGAGGCAGCAGUGAGGAAUAUUGGUCAAUGGACGAGAGUCUGAACCAGCCAAGUAGCGUGAAGGAUGACUGCCCUAUGGGUUGUAAACUUCUUUUAUAUGGGAAUAAAAUGUUCCACGUGUGGGAUUUUGUAUGUACCAUAUGAAUAAGGAUCGGCUAACUCCGUGCCAGCAGCCGCGGUAAUACGGAGGAUCCGAGCGUUAUCCGGAUUUAUUGGGUUGAAAGGGAACGUAGGUGGAUUGUUAAGUCAGUUGUGAAAGUUUGCGGCUCAACCGUAAAAUUGCAGUUGAAACUGGCAGUCUUGAGUACAGUAGAGGUGGGCGGAAUUCGUGGUGUAGCGGUGAAAUGCUUAGAUAUCACGAAGAACUCCGAUUGCGAAGGCAGUUCACUGGACUGCAACUGACACUGAGGCUCGAAAGUGUGGGUAUCAAACAGGAUUAGAUACCCCUGUAGUC